This 801-nucleotide ribosomal RNA is filed under the name Staphylococcus sp. Its description in RNAcentral is "bacterial SSU rRNA". It matches the Rfam family "Bacterial small subunit ribosomal RNA", at positions 9 to 796 of the family's 1533-position model. The record is from RNAcentral. Lineage: Bacteria; Bacillati; Bacillota; Bacilli; Caryophanales; Staphylococcaceae.
GAGUUUGAUCCUGGCUCAGGAUGAACGCUGGCGGCGUGCCUAAUACAUGCAAGUCGAGCGAACAGACAAGGAGCUUGCUCCUUUGACGUUAGCGGCGGACGGGUGAGUAACACGUGGGUAACCUACCUAUAAGACUGGGAUAACUUCGGGAAACCGGAGCUAAUACCGGAUAAUAUUUCGAACCGCAUGGUUCGAUAGUGAAAGAUGGUUUUGCUAUCACUUAUAGAUGGACCCGCGCCGUAUUAGCUAGUUGGUAAGGUAACGGCUUACCAAGGCGACGAUACGUAGCCGACCUGAGAGGGUGAUCGGCCACACUGGAACUGAGACACGGUCCAGACUCUACGGGAGGCAGCAGUAGGGAAUCUUCCGCAAUGGCGAAAGNCUGACGGAGCAACGCCGCGUGAGUGAUGAAGGUCUUCGGAUCGUAAAACUCUGUUAUUAGGGAAGAACAUACGUGUAAGUAACUAUGCACGUCUUGACGGUACCUAAUCAGAAAGCCACGGCUAACUACGUGCCAGCAGCCGCGGUAAUACGUAGGUGGCAAGCGUUAUCCGGAAUUAUUGGGNGUAAAGCGAGCGUAGGCGGUUUUUUAAGUCUGAUGUGAAAGCNCGGCUCAACCGUGGAGGGUCAUUGGAAACUGGAAAACUUGAGUGCAGAAGAGGAAAGUGGAAUUCCAUGUGUAGCGGUGAAAUGCGCAGAGAUAUGGAGGAACACCAGUGGCGAAGGCGACUUUCUGGUCUGUAACUGACGCUGAUGUGCGAAANCGUGGGGAUCAAACAGGAUUAGAUACCCUGGUAGUCC